UCCGACUUGGAGCCGGCAGUCUCUUAUGAAAAAUUCAACAUAAGACAUGGGUUGCGCUCGUUUACGGACUUAACCGAACACCUCAAGGCACGAGCUGACGACAACCAUGCAGCACCUGUCACCGAGUUCCUUGCGGCACAAUCGCCUUUCGGCAAUCUUCUCGGGAUGUCAAGUCUUGGUGAGGUUUUUCGCUUGUUGUCGAAUUAAACCAGAUGCUCCACCGCUUGUGCGGGUCCCCGUCUAUUCCUUUGAGUUUUAAUCUUGCGAUCGUACUACCCAGGCGGAUUACUUAUCGCGUUAGCUUAGACACCGAAGGGGUCGAAUCCUCCGACAUCGAGUAAUCAUAGUUUAGGGCGUGGACUAC
This 364-nucleotide unclassified non-coding RNA is filed under the name uncultured bacterium. RNAcentral's name for it is "contains 16S-23S intergenic spacer region". The record is from RNAcentral.